Molecule: ribosomal RNA, 468 nt
Filed under: uncultured bacterium
Lineage: Bacteria
Description: partial 16S ribosomal RNA
Rfam family: Bacterial small subunit ribosomal RNA
Source: RNAcentral
GACGAACGCUGGCGGCGUGCUUAACACAUGCAAGUCGAACGGAAAGGCCCUGCUUUUGUGGGGUGCUCGAGUGGCGAACGGGUGAGUAACACGUGAGUAACCUGCCCUUGACUUUGGGAUAACUUCAGGAAACUGGUGCUAAUACCGGAUAGGAGCUCCUGCUGCAUGGUGGGGGUUGGACAGUUUCGGCGGUUGGGGAUGGACGCGCGGCUUAUCAGCUUGUUGGUGGGGUAGUGGCUUACCAAGGCUUUGACGGGUAGCCGGCAUGAGAGGGUGACCGGGCACAUGGGUACUGAGAUAGGCAGCAGACUCCUACGGGAGGCAGAGGGGGGGAAUAUGGCACAAUGGGCGGAAGCCUGAUGCAGCAACGCCGCGUGCGGGAUGACGGCCUUCGGGUUGUAAACCGCUUUCGCCUGUGACGAAGCGUGAGUGACGGUAAUGGGUAAAGAAGCACCGGCUAACUACGUG